UUGCUACUCCUUCCGUUCGUAAUUCCUUGUCUCAGAAAUGGAUAUAUCUAGAACUAAUGUUCUAGAUACAUAGUUCUAGAUACAUCCAUUUCUGAGACAAGUAAUUCCGAACGGAGGGAGUACUUU
Molecule: non-coding RNA, 126 nt
Organism: Triticum aestivum (bread wheat)
Lineage: Eukaryota; Viridiplantae; Streptophyta; Magnoliopsida; Poales; Poaceae
Source: Rfam